CCGGGGGGAAGCUGCGAGAGAAAAGGAGGGGGUAGAAAGAAAGGAUAAGGUGCGUGGUGAUUGGCUGAGCCGGGUUGCCGGAGCCCGGAGCCUGCGUCUUUUGUCUGCCUUGCUCCAGCGAAGGAGCGGGAGACGGCUGCGCGCCCCAAGUAGGCCAAUCAGGAUCCAGCCGGCGCUGGCCGGUAAGGCUGCGAUUGGUCGAAGCCCAGUUACUAAGCGGGACAAAGGCAGAAGGGGGAAAGAAAAGAAGAGGAGGAAAAAAAAAAAAAAAGAAAGAAAGAAAGAAAGCGCAAACGGCGGUUACUGACAGGCUGGGCGAGUGCUCAGGGGCUCUGGCUGCCGGGAGACAGGCGGGGCUCCCGCUGAGGCUGGGACGGGCCGGACGAGUUGGGGAGGUGGGGGGGAGGGAGACGGGCUGGCCCAAGACACCUCUGCCCGGAGAUUGGCCGCGGAGGAGGGGAGCGGACGGAGAGAGGCGCCUGCUGUCACCUGGAGGGAUUUGGGCUCCUCCGGUCCUUAGGAGGUCCCCGGGCAGAAUCCCUCCCCACAGACCUCUUCACCGUGCUGGGCAGCCCCCACUCCUCGCGAUAAGUUGCCAUAUAAAGAAAAGGUCCCCCAAACCCACUUGCAGGACUGUUACCACUCCGUGAGAUGAGAUGCCCAUGCCCCCCUGUAGCUUUCCCAGGCAGCUACCGGAACCCAAUCCCGGCUUCUCCCCUUGAGCGGUUAGACUUUUCUUAAGGAGGUAUUUCGCAGUUCCUCUGCGCUUCCCACGCAAGGACUUUUGAACUCAGAGGUAACUCCCCACACCUGAAAUAGUGAGGAGCCACAGCAGGCCCCUCAGCUCGAGUGCUCACGGCAGAAAACAUGCCUUGAAAUUACAGUGCGUCUGUGAUUUAAGACAAAUCACAGGUGUUAGAAUCCCCAGCCAAAAAGGGUUUAUUCUGUUUCCCUGACAGACCCCCUUCCACAUACACCGAGUCCCUUCCCCACACUUAAAACUAUGAUAGACUAUGAAAAACUGUGACUAUUUCCAUGCAUUUCAGAGACAGCUAAAUAACUUGCUGGGGAACACUGAAUAGCCAAAAGCAGAUUUGUGUCUCCUAAAGGUUAUGCUUGGAAUUGCCAUCCUGCAUACCGUACAAUACAGUCUGGGGAGGCCAAAAACUGUCCCAUUUCCUCUUUACACAGGAGUAACAAAGCCCAUUGUGUUUGGGUUGACAACCCGCUUUAAGCCCUAGCAAAACCUCCUACCCUGAAUGGCUCUGCUAUAUUGAUUCGUUCCUGUCGAAAAGUUGCCACGUUUCACCCUCUACCUUCUAAAGUGAUUCUGCCUUCCCUAACGGUGCUGUAAAUUGAGACAGUUCCUGGAAGCAGUCAAAAUAUGUAUAGGCUCUGUAUAGAGUCUUGGAUUAAAAAAGGGCUAGUAAGACUAAAUGGACAAGGUUGAACUGACAAAAGACAUCAAGAUUCUUACAUGCUUUCUUUUUCACAUUUCUGAAAUCCCAAACAUGAUUCAGAAGCCAGAUCAACUUUGGGGCAGGGCAUGUUGUUAAUUUGAAUGUCCUGAACCAUUUCUCUAGGUAGAAGAUACUGGAAGAUCAGCUCUAAUUUGUGGCUGGCUUCCCAGCAGUCUCUUUACUUCACCAUAUCUGGGAGCCAGAAGUACUCACAUGUGAUAACUCAAAAGGCAGAACAAUCAGUCAAGGGCAAGUUGGUUUAUUUUUGUUCACGGGUGUCCCUGUGCAUUCCCAAACAAAAUGAAGGUGAAGAGAGGAAGUGUGGAAAAGAUAAUGGCUUUCAGAUGUCCACAGCAGUUUUUGCCUGGACCAUUUUUCAUCAUUUAGUGGUGGGGUUUCAAUUUCUAAUAUGCAGAGCAAUCACCCAGCCUUUCCCACAGCUAAGACUUUGAGAGAUGUAGUAAAGCAGCACAGUGUAUAAUCUGGUCCUCAACCCUGGCACACAGAGUAAGGCUUGAUUCAACCUUGCCACCUAAAAUUAUAUGCUCCAGCUAUCCAACAAAUAAAGCUUUGAAUAGGAGACCUCCAAAAAAUAACAGUGAUGCAAGAAGCAAUGAUGAAUCAAGGGGAAACACAUUUCCUUUGGAUGGGCUUGAAUCAGUGCCCUGUCAUGGUGGGAAGUGCCUGUCAUAUGAUGCUGGCCUUACUUUCCUUCAGUUGAGAAAUAAAAGUGAGGUUCUGACUGCAUGUCAUCAAACCGCCUCAGGCUCUUUGGCAAAGGUAGAGAAUGUUAGCUCUGGUGUCCUGGACCGUUUCCAUCCUGGAGAAUUAUAUUUGGCCUGGGCGUGGAUUAAAUUCAGCUCUAAGAGCUCAAACUCCUGGGUCACAACCUGCUACUUUGGGAUUUUUUUUCCCCUUUGCCUCCCUCCUUUCUUUUUUUAAUUUAAAGUAGUUUUAGAUAAAUCACAAAAUCUGUAUGCCUUUAUUUAUAUAUAGGAGAUUUAUAUGAAAUAGGAGAUUGCCUUCAGAUUUAUACAGGCUUCUUAGCUUAUUCUGAAACACUAAGAAUGAAAACAAAAAUGCCACUUAACUACUUAGAAUUAAUAGUACCUUUCUGUAGCUCCAAAUAGAUAGGGUGUCCUUCACUUUUCACCCUGGUAUGGUCUUGCUAUCAAACUGUUCAAAUAUGCUCCAUUUCCCCCUCUUUAUUUCAGAGAUGGAUGAAAUAUUUCUCUUGUGCACUGAAUAUAGGGUAUGAUCUCAGAGCUCUCUGUGCCAGCAGAAUCAGCCUGGAACUCAGCCAAAAGUUCUUCGUGAUUAAAGGUGCCAUCUGAGCACACAAUAUUUUUUUAAAAGCCUUGCAAAAUGGAAACACACUUUUAUUAUUUUUUUAACGUCACUAGCUUUAACACCAGGACUGACUUGAGCCUUUAGGGAAGGAUCACAGGCCUUAAUCCCUCUCUUCUUUCCCCCUGCCCUCUCAUCAUGUUUCUUGAUCAAAUGUCUUAUGAUAAGGCCAAGUCCAUACAGCUAAAUAAACUCAAUAAAUGGAGUUCCAAGACAACUCCACGAAUCAUCAGUUGCAGAUUCAAGGACCUCCUGAACCACAUGCCUUAUAAGUUGGGAUACAGCAAGAUUUGAUGGUAAAGUUUGCCUUUAUUUAUUUAUUUUUUUAGCUUAUUUUUUGUAAUCUCUACACCCUAUGUGGGGCUCAAACUCACAACCCUGAGAUCAAGAGUUGCAUGCUGUUCCAAGAGAGAGCCAGCCAGGUGCCCAGAAAAUUUUGGCUUUAUAAUGCAAACAAUGCUAGUGGAUCUUCUAGAAAGACCUCUCACUUGAGAAUUGAUAGUCAUCUCUUGAGAUGGUAGUGUCUACAAUCAUGAUUUUCCAUUUUUUUCAAAAUGGUAUUCCUUUUACUUGCUUUUGCAAUUUUUUACCUCUCUUGUACAUCCCAAACUAUGUGAUGGGGAUUAAGGAGUGCGCUUGUGGUGAUGUAGAUGAGGAAAUUGAGACCCAGAGCAGUGAGGGGACUUGUUCAAAGCCACUCAGGUACUUAGUAGCAGAGCCAGUAUUAGAGCCCCAGGUCCCAACAGUCAGGACAAUGGAGAAAUCUGGCCCAUUAUCCUACCCUAACACAGGGCCUGUGGUUGGUGUUUCUCCUGAGUUCCCCCAGAAAUCUGCAAACAAGAACCAGACAAUACUAUACCCAUGAACCGCUCUCUCUUUGAAAUCUCAACUCUAAUGAUGCCACUCUCUGACCUUCUUCCACUUCUUUUUUUUUCAAGCACAGACAUGAGGGAAAAUAAUUACCAUCUAAUACCACUGUAGUGAGUUGAACAGUGGCCCCCAAAAAUGAUAUAUACAAAUCCUAACCCUUCAGAAGCUCUGAAUGUGAACUUAUUUAGGAAAAGUGUCUUUGCAGAUAUAAAUUAAAGAUUUUGAGACAAGGA
This is a long non-coding RNA of Neofelis nebulosa (Clouded leopard), 3910 nucleotides long. RefSeq lists it as uncharacterized. Lineage: Eukaryota; Metazoa; Chordata; Mammalia; Carnivora; Felidae. The record is from RefSeq and is a predicted model, not a curated record. The transcript has 3 exons.